CCAUCCCUGUGACUUGUGGCCCCACAUCUGUCCUGGAGCCUCUGCCCAGCUCUAGGGAUCGGCCCCUGUUCUCUUCCGGCGGCUCCAGCUCCUUCAGCAUCUUUCCUCAGGUUCUCCCAGACUUUCCCCAAAGACAGGAUGUCCUCGGCCCCAGCAGAGAGUUCGUGUCCCCAGUUCCCUCAGUCCUGGCAGGUGACGGGGCCGCAAGGAGACUGGGGACACAAGUGCAAGCGGGGAGACUCCCCGGGACAGAGCCCCCUAAAGAAGCCUUUAUCCUCCCCCUCGGCCAGAGGAGCACAGACAAGGAAUGAUGGACACACGUGGGCAGUGCUUAGUGUGGGGGCUCCACGCUGAGGGCGGGGACCCCAAUGAGCAGCGUAGACAGCCCCAACCUCAAGGGGCUCCCCUUCUCCUGGAAGUUUCAGCUGCAGGACACAUGGAAUGCUCUGGCUGGCCUGAGGGAGCAGCAGUUUAUUGCCUCUGUCUCUGUCUCUGUCUCUCUGACCCCCCCCCCUCUUUCCCAUCACCACUUAGAGUGACAAAAUCCUGUCCCUUACAGGUCAGAACUCUCCCCCAGAGCUUGUUCUUUGGGACCAGUCCCCCCUUUGCCAGUUUUCCGAAGCUGUGACUGCAGCACCUGCAGGAGCUACUCACGCUGUGUUACUUUUUGACCUUAGGCUGGGAACAGGUUUGGGUUCAAAGCUCUGGCCCAUUGUCCCUUAGGACCUGAGGGAGGAGAGUGGUUGGGGUUGUGAUUGUGGCCCCCAUACUAACUCCCAUGAUUCCUCCGAGGACUUUGGUUGCUCCAACCAGACGGCUUCAUCUGCGCUGCGGGGGGCACUUGGCUGACAGCUGCUGAGGACGGCUGUCCGUCCUCCGUGAGAGCUCCUCUCCUCCCGGAGACUUGGGAUGAGUGACCUAGAACCAGGUCCUCCGCUGCUUGAUGCGGCUGUCUGCCUUUUGGGGGCGCUGCUGAGCACUGGUUGCUGGUGGUGCUGAGGAAGAUGGGCCAUUUCUCCCAAGGAUUUCUUCCCAGGGAUGGCAGUCAGGCUUUGGCUGGCAGGAAGUCUGGAGGCUCAUGAAGCCAGCGAAGAGGAAACGAAAGCAACAAUUAGCUGCUCUUUUGCUCAACUCUGCCAGUACAUGUGACAAUGUGACAGAAAUGGAUGAAAUGGAAAUUACCAAAAUACCCGUUGUCCACAUUAACAGAAGAGGAAACAAAAUACUUAAGCAGCCCCAUUUUAGUACAAGAAAUGGAACAAGUCAUCAGUGAGCUCCCCAAGAAAAAUGUCCGGGGCUUGAUGUAUUACAAGGGAAUUCCGCCAAACAUUAAAGAACAAUUAAUUCCAAAUAAACUAUUUGAAAAAUA
Long non-coding RNA from Antechinus flavipes (yellow-footed antechinus), 1369 nucleotides. RefSeq lists it as uncharacterized. The transcript is spliced from 2 exons. Lineage: Eukaryota; Metazoa; Chordata; Mammalia; Dasyuromorphia; Dasyuridae. The record is from RefSeq and is a predicted model, not a curated record.